UACGGAGGGUGCAAGCGUUAUCCGGAUUCACUGGGUUUAAAGGGUGCGUAGGUGGUCAAGUAAGUCAGUGGUGAAAUCUCCGGGCUUAACCCGGAAACUGCCAUUGAUACUAUUUGUCUUGAAUACUGUGGAGGUCAGCGGAAUAUGUCAUGUAGCGGUGAAAUGCUUAGAUAUGACAUAGAACACCAAUUGCGAAGGCAGCUGGCUACACAAAUAUUGACACUGAGGCACGAAAGCGUGGGGAUCAAACAGG
Molecule: ribosomal RNA, 253 nt
Filed under: uncultured bacterium
Lineage: Bacteria
Description: partial 16S ribosomal RNA
Rfam family: Bacterial small subunit ribosomal RNA
Source: RNAcentral